ACAUGCACGCACGCAGGGCUCCUUCCACACACUAGCUCACUGUGGCGACGCAACCGCCCCGCUAACACAUUCGCGCGCGCUCUUUCCUCCCCGUCCCCGCCCCACCCUUCCACCGUUUCCAUUGGGCGAGCACCGCACUGCACUCUCUGACCGCCUCCUCCACACUGCUCACAGGGCGACGUGUCUGAGGCGCAUCCCCCACCUCCUCUCUCGCCCUCUUCCCGCUCACUGACGACUGACUGCAGACGGCAUUGGCUGCGCCGGCACGAUGACGCAGAGCACCCACUGCCCGGACACGCAGAUGGACCGCGUGAGCGAGGGCGGCGCGUCCUUCAGCGAUGACGCGGUGAUGGUGAACAAUGUGGGUGAGGCGCAGCUGAAAGACAUGGUGGACCGCCCGAUCAUGCUGGACACGGACGAGCUGGUGUACGCGACGCGGUAUCGGCCGCGCAGCUGGCUAACUACUCUGCUGAGCAAGGCUGUGCCGCACGGUGGGACGCUGUCGAACGCGUACAAUCUCGGCGCCGUGACGCUGGGCUCCGGCGUGAUUGCGCUGCCGUCCACGUUCCAGGCGACGGGUGUGGCCACGUCGGUCAUCGUGCUGAUCGCGAUCACGAUGAGCACUGUGUACUCGGUGUACAUCAUGAUGCAGGCCGCGGACAAGACGGGUCGGCGGCUGUACUCGUACGAGGCGCUGGCGCGCGGGCUGCUUGGGCGCGGGUGGGACUACCUUGCUGCGUUCCACUUGUGGAUGUUCUGCUUUGGGUCGUGCGUGUCGUACGUGAUCUCGACAGGCGACCUGCUGUCGCGCGCGACGGACGACCCGUCUGUGAACAGCUUCGUGCGGUCGGUGUGGGGCAACCGCGUGCUUGUGAUCAUUAUCUGGUCGUGCGUGAUGCUGCCGCUGUCGAUCCCGAAGGAGAUCAACUCGCUGCGCUACUUCUCGGUUGUUGGGGUGUCGUGCAUGAUGAACUUUGUGGCUGUCAUCGUGAUCCACUCUGCGAUGAACGGGUUCAAGAACGGGCGGCCGAUCCACCAGCCGCAUAUGUUCAAGACGGGCAACAACGCGAUUGUGGGGUUCUCGAGCAUCCUGUUCGCGUUCCUCGCACAGACGAACGUGUUCGAGGUGGCGCGCGAGACGCCGAACCCGACGCCCGGGCGGAUCUCGAAGGACCUAGCGAUCAGCCAGGUGGUCUGCUGUGCGCUGUACGUGCUCGCGGGCGUGUUCGGGUACCUGGAGUUUGGCGAGCAGAUCGCGGACUCGAUUCUGCUGUACUACAACGUGCGCAGCGACGUGCUUGUUGCGAUCGCGUACGUUGGGAUCGGCGUGAAGAUGUGCGUUGGGUUUGCGAUCUGCAUGCAGCCGUCGCGCGACGCGGUGUACUACUGCCUCGGCUGGCACUUCUCGAUGUUCAAGGACAUCCGGACGGUGCCGUUCUGGCUGAACGCUGUGAUCUGCACUGGGCUCUCCGUGCUUGCGCUUGUGCUGGGGCUGUUCAUCCCGAACGUGAACGUCGUGUUUGGGCUUGUGGGCAGCUUCUGCGGCGGGUUCCUGGGGUUCAUCUAUCCAGCUCUGUACGUCAUGUACGCUGGCAACUGGGGCCUGCGGCAGGUGGGCUGGCUCCACUACGUCUCGACGUACUUGCUGCUGAUCGCCGGCGUGGUUGCUGUUGUUUUCGGCACGGUUGCCUCUAUCUACGGCGAGGUCCACUGAGCAGCGGCGAGGCAGCCGCGCUUGUCUGCGUUGUUCGCUGCGUGUUUGCUUCACAUGUGUGGAAGAGGUGGAGGAUAGUGUGGAGGAGGGGUAAAGGCGCCGGUGGAGUGGUUUUUGGGUGCGGCCACCGAGCGCGCGGCGCCUAUGGGCGUUCUCCGCACGCCUCGCCACCCGCUUCUCUCCCUCUUUCCCUCUCCACAUCUCCCUCUGCGUGCGUGCCUUUCUUCACCUUCCUUUGCCUCCGCGUGUCUUUGGUUUUGUGGGUCACAGGAGCGCUGCAGAGAAGGGAAGGCGUGGGAGAGCAUAGCAAGCAAUCGUCUCUAGGAGCUGACGACCGCCGUGUGGCCGGACGCGCGGUGUUUUCGUGUUUUGUGAUGCUCGUUCUGUCCGAUGUUGUGUGAGAAAUCGGUUUUGCACACGCGGGUGUCUCUGGCCACACUCGACGGAAAGCUCGUAGGGUAAGUUGUUGGGUAUUAGUGGACCAUUUGUGCUACGUGUGUGCGUACGCUGGUUUUGUGUGUGCGUGUGUUUUUUAUUUUUCUGGGUUUCGGCAUGACCCGGCAUCGUGCCCGGUAUGCUACGCAGGGCUGACGGAUCGCUCGAAACUCCACAGACACUUCACUUCACGGCAUUAUCUUGCAGCCAGUGACCUGAUCACACACGUAUCCCUCGCGCUGCAUGGGCUUCUCUCGCCGGGUGUUUGUGGCUCUCCCCUGUCCAAAUUCAGAACGAUAGGUUGAGAGCUCUCCCUGCGCACACUCAUGCGUACGCACCGGCCUUUUCCGCUUGGCUUACUCAUUCCUCUGAAAGACAUGCGGAUUCAGACGAACGUGGUAUACCUCAUGCAGCCACAGACUCAUGACAGCUAGCACCUGUCGCGGGAACCGCGUACAAGCCGGCCAGACACGCCUCCCACGGCAUCGCCGGCAAUGGCAGAUGAAUACACCAGGCCGCCCCAGGUGGCAACAGCGUUCGAAACCAUACCCCACGAUGCAAAAUCGCUAUAACUGUGCGCCGGUGAUGUGAAGCACAGCUGGCGUGAUGUGUGUGCCAUCCAGACAAAGGCAUCCAGACAUCGGAAGGGCGAGAGUGGCUGACGAAAGGAGGCGCGAAGAGGGCCAUACGAAUCAACCCAGAAGCGCAUGCGUGCGAGAUAUGCGGCGUCCCCCACGUCCGACCGCGUCUGCACCGAUGAGGCACAGAUGCGGGAAGCAUGGAGAGAGCACCCCGACGCUCACCACCGAGCCCUCCAUGUUCCCAUGUUGCGAGCCCCCACACCGCAUUGCAGGAUGUCGCGACUGGAAGCAGCUGAGAGGGCAACGCAUGGGGCACACAGGCAGAGUGCGCAGGGUCUCGGAGGGUUCUGACCUGAAGGUGGCCAACCCCCUUCCUGAGCUCAUCCGGCGUGCGCCUGGGCCACCCCUCUACCGCCCGCAAGGCAGACGCCGCCACUGCUUCCGCCCUCGAGCAUGACUCUGGGCACGGCCCGCAUUGGAUCCAGGCAUGCAUGCCACCCAGGCCUGUGUGGCGCCCAUCGCGCAGCACGUAGCAGAGGAAGGGACGAGGAAUGGCAAGGAGAGCCGGUACGACGCAUGACCCCGAUGCCCACGGCAGGCAGUGCGUCCUUGGCGACCAGAGUGUGCUGCCGUGGUGCAGCAGAGGCAAGGUGGAGCCGUGGCUGUGCGUGCGUAUGUUUGCUGACUUGCUCGCGGGUGGCAUAUAAUGGGCACAGUGGACACAUAAAAAAAUACGUUUUUCUACGCAUUUGCUGGUUGGCAUUCUGUGAAGCGUGGCGGCCAAAAGGGGGAAGGCCAGGCCGCCCUGAAACAUUCGCAGAGCCUGUACUGGCGCGCUGCAGUAGCGGCGCAGUGAUGAGGAAGCAUUGCCAAGACAAGCUCCUGCGGACUAUGUCGUGCGCUUUUCUGCACCUGCCCUUGGUACCUCUUUUCUCUCUCGCUGCCUCCCCUGCAACGUCCGCCUCUUCUCGAACGUUUGGUGGUGUGUGGGUGUAGGGAAUGAGCGAAGGCGGUGCCAUCAGCAGCGGUGGCGGUGUUACGCGGACGCGGGUAAGCGGGGUUUCUUUCCUCGCGUUCAGUGCUGUGUACCGCGUGCAGAGCCGCCGCUGCCUACCGCAUGUAUGUGUGUGUGUGUGUAGGCGGGGGGGGUAGUGGAGGGGCCGCUCUGCGUCUCUCGUGGUUUCUCUUUCCUCCUCAGUUUGAGAUGCGGCUGUUGUUGUGGUUUGCGGUUGUUGUUUUCUGCUCUUUCCUUUUUGUCGUCUCUUUUCGUUCGCGUUCACUGUGCCAGACUUUUACAACUGUAAAGGCGCCUGUUCCCUCUCUUUUUUUCUCUCGCUCUCGCUUUUCUUCCCGCCUUUGAUUUUCUUUCACACACGACGGAUGUGCUUGCUUUUCGUGUGCGUGUUGCGGUGGUGCGUACGUGUGCACCCUUUGCCGGGAUGACUGCCUGUGUGUGUGCGUGGUGCUGGGCUGCCUUCGCCCUAUCCACGUGAAUGUUCAUGUGCAUGUCCUCCCUGGCGUUGAUAGUGCUGGUGCUGUUGGUCUGUUCAUCUCCCCACCUCUCCCCCGCGUUGCUGCUGCCUUCUUUUCCUCUGUGAGGCGAUGCCGUCUUGUUUCUCUGUGGGCACUGAGCGAGUGAGGGCUCGAGCGAUGGUCUUUCCUGUGUGCGUGUGCUCAUGUGCAAUGCCUGUGUAUCGAGGGCGGGCGCAUGUGACCCCCGUGAAAGACGUACACACGCCCACAGGCAUACGGCCGCAUUCGCAGAGCCACUCGACAGAUGCUGAGGUGAAGGCGGAGAGGUGAGGCGACGGCAGGCAGACAAGCGCACUCGGCAGUCGAAAAAGUGAAGCGCAGUACAGAUCAGAGAGGAAACAUGGGGACAUACCCGCCUCUUGAGGUGCUGUUUGCGUUUCUGCCGCUUCGCUGCUGUUGUGCAGCUCCUCCAGCUGCGACUGUGCUGCUCAUGCGUGUGCAUCGCCGCACCGUGCGGGCGACGUGCAGACGUUGCAGACUCGGAGGCAAAGGAGGACGGGUAAUGAGCGCAUCCGACGCUCAUGUGGAAGCGCGCAUUCCCUUUCCUUUGGUGUGUGUGUGCGCGCGUGGUUGGAUAGGUGGCCGGUGGGGAUGCAAAAUAUAGUGAGCCAGCCGAGCAACAAGGAAGGGUGUGAGGAAAGGGAGAUGGGAUAGGUGGACUGUGCCGUCCGUCCGGCGCGGUUUCUACCGGAGGUGUGCGCGGCUGACGCACAUGCAUGCUCUCCCUCUAUCCCUCUCUUUUUCCUCUCCUCUUCCCCUGCUUCCUCGGUGUGGUUCCUUCCUCGUCGCUGCUCUUGUUGUUCAUGCGUCUUCUCUUGGCAUGUUUGACAAGUGUAAAGAUGAUACACUGUGGCCCCUUUUUCUGUUCCGUUUCCAUUCUUUCCUUUCUUGUGUGGUGUACCUUACCUUCUCUGUCUCUCUCUCUCCCUCCCUCCCCAUCUCUCUUCUCUCCUCUCUCUCUCUUCAUGCUGUGAACGGCCCAAGCAGUGGCAGAGAGCAGCAUACAUGCCGCUUGAGGGGGGCUUCUCUCGUUCUAUAGACUUUCUUUUUUCUUCUGUGAGUCGGAGUAAUUCGAGCGAACCGGAGUACGCACAGGCAGCUACACGUGCACGUGCCAGUGGUCGUCAUCUCGCUUCCGUCCAAUCCAUAAACCUCUAAGUAUUUCCGUUUUCUUGUUGUGCUUCCUUUUCCAGCAACUCAUUCCUUCGGCCGAACAUGUAAUUAUGCAAGCAAGCAGGGAAGAAAAAAA
This 5512-nucleotide unclassified non-coding RNA is filed under the name Leishmania donovani. The record is from RNAcentral. Lineage: Eukaryota; Euglenozoa; Kinetoplastea; Trypanosomatida; Trypanosomatidae.